UUUUGGGAGCUUAUUGGCUUCAGAGUCAUUGGAACUCCGAAGUUAAGCGAGUUUGGGCUAGAGCAAUCCCAGGAUGGGUAACCUAUUGGGAAGUUGCUCAUGAGUUCCCAGAAA
RNAcentral lists this ribosomal RNA (114 nucleotides) under Prunus dulcis (almond). The record is from RNAcentral. Lineage: Eukaryota; Viridiplantae; Streptophyta; Magnoliopsida; Rosales; Rosaceae.